RNAcentral lists this small nuclear RNA (47 nucleotides) under Sus scrofa (pig). Its description in RNAcentral is "U1 spliceosomal RNA (ENSSSCG00005000641.1)". It matches the Rfam family "U1 spliceosomal RNA", at positions 1 to 47 of the family's 166-position model. Rfam says of the family: U1 is a small nuclear RNA (snRNA) component of the spliceosome (involved in pre-mRNA splicing). Its 5' end forms complementary base pairs with the 5' splice junction, thus defining the 5' donor site of an intron. The record is from RNAcentral. Lineage: Eukaryota; Metazoa; Chordata; Mammalia; Artiodactyla; Suidae.
AUACUUACCUGGCAGGGGAGAUACCAUGAUCACGAAGGUGGUUUUCC